GACGAACGCUGGCGGCGUGCCUAACACAUGCAAGUCGAACGGAGUUCCUUCGGGGACUUAGUGGCGAACGGGUGAGUAACGCGUGAAGAACCUGCCUUUCAGUGGGGGACAACAGUUGGAAACGACUGCUAAUACCGCAUAAUGUUAUUUGAGGGCAUCCUCGGAUAACCAAAGAUUUAUUGCUGAAAGAUGGCUUCGCGUCUGAUUAGCUAGAUGGCGGGGUAACGGCCCACCAUGGCGACGAUCAGUAGCCGGUCUGAGAGGAUGAACGGCCACAUUGGGACUGAGAUACGGCCCAGACUCCUACGGGAGGCAGCAGUGGGGAAUAUUGGGCAAUGGGGGAAACCCUGACCCAGCAACGCCGCGUGAAGGAAGAAGGGCCUUCGGGUUGUAACCGUCUGUCCUAUGGACGAAGAAGUAGACGGUACC
This 429-nucleotide ribosomal RNA is filed under the name uncultured bacterium. RNAcentral describes it as "bacterial SSU rRNA". It matches the Rfam family "Bacterial small subunit ribosomal RNA", at positions 28 to 479 of the family's 1533-position model. The record is from RNAcentral.